Molecule: ribosomal RNA, 462 nt
Filed under: uncultured bacterium
Lineage: Bacteria
Description: bacterial SSU rRNA
Rfam family: Bacterial small subunit ribosomal RNA
Source: RNAcentral
CCCUACGGGACGCAGCAGUGGGGAAUAUUGGACAAUGGGCGAAAGCCUGAUCCAGCCAUGCCGCGUGUGUGAAGAAGGUCUUCGGAUUGUAAAGCACUUUAAGUUGGGAGGAAGGGCAGUAACCUAAUACGUUAUUGUUUUGACGUUACCGACAGAAUAAGCACCGGCUAACUUCGUGCCAGCAGCCGCGGUAAUACGAAGGGUGCAAGCGUUAAUCGGAAUUACUGGGCGUAAAGCGCGCGUAGGUGGUUCAGUAAGUUGGAAGUGAGAUCCCCGGGCUCAACCUGGGAACUGCUUUCAAAACUGCUGAGCUAGAGUACGGUAGAGGGUGGUGGAAUUUCCUGUGUAGCGGUGAAAUGCGUAGAUAUAGGAAGGAACACCAGUGGCGAAGGCGACCACCUGGACUGAUACUGACACUGAAGUGCGAAAGCGUGGGGAGCAAACAGGAUUAGAUACCCGAGU